CAAGUCGCACGAGAAAGUGGAGCAAUCCAUGAGUACAGUGGCGUACGGGUGAGUAACACGUGGAUUAUCUACCUUCUAGUGGGGAAUACCUCCGGGAAACUGGAGACAAUACCGCAUAAGCUCGUAAGAGGAAAGCAGCAAUGCGCUGGAAGAGGAGUCCGCGGCUGAUUAGCUAGUUGGCGGGGUAAUGGCCCACCAAGGCGAAGAUCGGUAGCCGGCCUGAGAGGGCACACGGCCACACUGGCACUGAAACACGGGCCAGACUCCUACGGGAGGCAGCAGUGGGGAAUCUUGCACAAUGGAGGAAACUCUGAUGCAGCGACGCCGCGUGAGCGAUGAAGCCCUUCGGGGUGUAAAGCUCUUUCGACGGGAACGAUAAUGACGGUACCCGAAGAAGAAGCUGCGGCUAACUACGUGCCAGCAGCCGCGGUAAUACGUANGCAGCAAGCGUUGUUCGGAAUUACUGGGCGUAAAGAGUGUGUAGGCGGUGCUCCAAGUCUGGUGUGAAAUCUCCCGGCUUAACUGGGAGGGUGCAUUAGAAACUGGAAUGCUAGAGGAUGGGAGAGGUAAGCGGAAUUCCUGGUGUAGCGGUGAAAUGCGUAGAUAUCAGGAGGAACACCUGUGGUGUAGACAGCUUACUGGACCAUUUCUGACGCUGAGACACGAAAGCGUGGGUAGCAAACAGGAUUAGAUACCCUGGUAGUCCACGCCCUAAACGAUGCAUACUUUGGUGUGAGCGAUUCAUUUCGUUCGUGCCGGAGCUAACGCGUUAAGUUUGCCCGCCUGGGGA
RNAcentral lists this ribosomal RNA (790 nucleotides) under uncultured Bacillota bacterium. Its description in RNAcentral is "bacterial SSU rRNA". It matches the Rfam family "Bacterial small subunit ribosomal RNA", at positions 58 to 879 of the family's 1533-position model. Lineage: Bacteria; Bacillati; Bacillota. The record is from RNAcentral.